RNAcentral lists this ribosomal RNA (814 nucleotides) under uncultured bacterium. RNAcentral's name for it is "bacterial SSU rRNA". It matches the Rfam family "Bacterial small subunit ribosomal RNA", at positions 53 to 869 of the family's 1533-position model. The record is from RNAcentral.
GCAUGCGAGUCGAGCGAGAACCCGCAAGGGGGACAGCGGCAAACGGGGUAGGAAUGGUCGGUAACGUACCCUUCGGACGGGGAUAGCCACGGGAAACUGUGGGUAAUACUCGAUAAACUCCUUGAACGUAACGGUUUAGGGAGCAAAGGUGAGAUUCCACCGGAGGAGCGGCUGACUUAGUAUUAGCUAGUUGGUGAGGUAAAAGCUUACCAAGGCAUCGAUGCUUAGGGGGUGUGAGAGCAUGGCCCCCACCACUGGGACUGAGAUACUGCCCAGACACCUACGGGUGGCUGCAGUCGAGAAUCUUCGGCAAUGGGCGAAAGCCUGACCGAGCGACGCCGCGUGUGGGAUGAAGGCCCUUGGGUUGUAAACCACUGUCAGGGGGGAUGAAAUGCGCGGGGGUACUCCCCUGCGUUUGACGGAGCCCCAGAGGAAGCACGGGCUAAGUUCGUGCCAGCAGCCGCGGUAAUACGAACUGUGCAAACGUUAUUCGGAAUCACUGGGCUUAAAAGGUGCGUAGGCGGCUUAUUAAGCAGGGUGUGAAAUCCCCCGGCUCAACCGGGGAAUAGCGCUCUGAACUGAUGAGCUUGAGUGAGGCAGGGGUGCGCGGAACUUCCAGUGGAGCGGUGAAAUGUGUUGAUAUUGGAAGGAACACCGGAGGCGAAAGCGGCGCACUGGGUCUUGUCUGACGCUGAGGCACGAAAGCCAGGGGAGCAAACGGGAUUAGAUACCNCGGUAGUCCUGGCCGUAAACGAUGAGUACUAAUGGGGAGGUCCGCGAGGGCUUUCUCACGGAGCGAAAGUUUUAAGUACUC